This 73-nucleotide transfer RNA is filed under the name Troides aeacus. RNAcentral describes it as "tRNA-Gln". Lineage: Eukaryota; Metazoa; Arthropoda; Insecta; Lepidoptera; Papilionidae. The record is from RNAcentral.
UAUAUUUUAGUGUGAGGAAGCACACUAAUUUUUUGAUGAUGAUUAGAUAUAGUUGUGAUUCUAUAAAAUAUAA